ACUUCCGGUCCUCUCUGAUUCUGACCGGCGGGAGCCCAGCUGCCGUCCGAGCUGCCCUGCUAGGACUUUCCCGCGGCCACACCUCGCUAAAAGAGCCCCAAAUGUACCCCAGCGUGGUUUCUACACUCAAGAACACCUAUAGUUGCGGUACGAGGAUGUCGGACUGCCAUGUUGGAAGCGGGAAGAAGCGUUGAGUUCUCUGCUACCUCUGGCUCUUACAAUAUCUCCACCACCUCUACCAUAAUGAUCCCUGAGCUUUGAAGACAGAAGUUUGAUACAAGUUUGAUAAUCACUGUGCAGCCUCUUAUUCUCUACACAAAGAAGUAGUUUCUUAAAGGUCAUUUGUUCUAUGAAAUCUAAAGCCAUACCAAUAAACUUUCUAUCUGCUACGUUGAUGCUCAUUGGUCCAUCCUACAUGUUGAAUAGAUCUUCACUUACAUUUACUCAAAUGCAUGAUUUUGUAUCAUCAUGAAUUGGACAUUGGAAAAUGUUGCUCCACUGUUAUGUACAGCUCUUGCAAAUGUUCACUUACUUUGUUAUAUGUAAUGUUUAAUCUUGUCAACUUGGCUGUGUUUGGAAAUCACUAUGGAAAACACUUCUGUUUGUGUCUAUGAGGGUGUUUCCAGAAAGUUUUAACUGAAGAGGGAAGACCCACCCUGUGGGUGGCCUGAUCCAGUGGGCUUAGAUCCUGAAAUGAAUAAAAAGGAGAAAGUAA
This is a long non-coding RNA of Nannospalax galili (Upper Galilee mountains blind mole rat), 715 nucleotides long. RefSeq lists it as uncharacterized. The transcript has 2 exons. Lineage: Eukaryota; Metazoa; Chordata; Mammalia; Rodentia; Spalacidae. The record is from RefSeq and is a predicted model, not a curated record.